Molecule: non-coding RNA, 214 nt
Organism: Camelina sativa (false flax)
Lineage: Eukaryota; Viridiplantae; Streptophyta; Magnoliopsida; Brassicales; Brassicaceae
Source: RefSeq, a predicted model, not a curated record
UUUCAGCACCACUGCAGGAACUGUGGUGACGUCUUCUGUGACAAGUGUACUCAAGGCAGGAUUGCUCUCACUGCUGAGGAGAAUGCUCCCCAAGUCCGUGUUUGUGACCGGUGCAUGGCAGAAGUGUCACAAAGGUUGAGUAAUGCCAAGGAAUCCGCUAGCAGGAACGCGAACGCGCAGAGCCAUGAGGACCUCGCUAGGAAGUUACAGGUGG